UUUGUUUGUGUACUGCUUUGAGGUCUGUUGUGACUUAUUUAACAUCUCUUCCAGUUUCACAGGUUAAAGACUUUUUGAAGUAAAGAGGAGCAUCUCAUCUGAACCUGAUGUCAAUCAUGGACUUUUAACUGCAGUUCUGUGAGUAUCCCAACAUAACCAUGAAGCAUAUCUGCAAACUGUAAGUCAUUAAUUUCUCAUUACUCUUGGGCACAUUGUUGUAUUUUGGAUUCCUGGUGGGUUAACCUGUUACCUGAAGGUUGUUCUGAGUAAGGAUGUUUUAUUGGUUCAUGGUUUACUUAGGUGUUUGGUUUAUGUUGGUAUUAAUGAUUUGUUAAAAUGGUUACAGGCUCCAAGUUAUUGUUGUAAGCCGGAGUAAUGGGUUGGGUUCUGAUGUCUUCAGUCUCCUUUCAUUCUACUCUCCUGAGCUCUGCAUCUUCAUUACAUGAGUGUUGCGUUACUGAUGAGUGUGUGGUCUGAGUGAGCAGAGGUGCAUACUGGGAUACAGAGCUGUCUCGAGUCUACAGGUCUGUAGACGCGCCCCCUCAGGGGAAACCGAGUGUUUGAGAAACUGUCGUGACGUCAGUUACAUGGACUGGAAUGUUCUUAAAGAUGGAGACAGGGAUUCAGAAGGAGAAUCACCAGGGGGAGAUGAGGGGGCUCCUCAUCUCAACGACUAAAACACAACUUCAGUCUGACACAGAGAACCAUGGAACACAUUCAACAGUCUCCUCCAGGCAUCGUGACUCCUCAGGAACAGUUUCAUUUCCAAGAAGGUCUUAUUUGGGGCCAUCCCCAUAUGGAUCCUGCUCCUCAAGACCCAACCCCCUCCACUGGGUGGUCUUCUGAACAGAUGACCUCCUUCCUGUCCUCAGGCUGACUAAAGCUCCACCGUUUGCAUCUGUGAAGGCCCCUCAUUCAGGAAACCACUGGACUACAAAGACAUGACUACAGAGAUGUUGAAUAAACCUGGGACACUUUUUGGAGACGCCAAGCAUAAUCCAUCACCAAUGUGGGACGCCACUGAAGAAUGUUGUACUUAAUUUACGUCUCUGGAGACAUCGGUUGUUCUGUUAUGGGUGCCCUGGCAGGAGAGCUGGGAAGGUGAUGAUGGAAUGUUAUUUGCUAUGAGGUUUUUACCCUGCAUGAUUGUUUGGCCUUUUAUGGCUCAGUGGUGUGUGUGUUUGGGUUUGACAUGAGAUGGAAGGUUUUUGAGCAUAGGGUCGCUAGGGUUUUAGUGUGUGUGUGUGUGUGUGUGUGUGUCUCCCUCUCACACCUGGCAUGGGGUUCUACGUGCCUGUCCUGGGUUCUAUAUGCGUGUGUCCGGCUUGCUUUGACAGUGAUAAUGUUCAUACGGGGGUCUGUGUGAUUGGCUUGGGAUAUCGGAAUGGUCAACUAAAUCAUACCUGAUGGAUGGCCACACGUUUACUUAAGGGCCUCCAGUAGACAUGAAGAGCCCUGAGCGACGCUCCGGAGCGAGAUCCAACACACUGGGCAGGAAGGAGAGUAUCCAACUCGAGUGUAAAAGGAUGCAAGCGGCGUGUUCAGAUCAGUGACUUCAAACUAGGACUACGCCAAUCAGGAUCAAUGGAGGAUGGACACCAAAAGGAAUUUCACAAGGAGAGUCUGACGUUGGAAAGGGACCUAAAUGGAUAUUCAAGAUGACCUUCAGACCUGUAAUGAGACGGCUCUUCCUACCUGGCUGGAUUGAUGGAGAGCCCUGUGGAUCUUGUCUUGCUCUCAGUUGCACGUCUUCUCAGGCUGAACUGUAAUUGUCUCGGACAGGACUAGCUGAACGAUUGGUUCCCUUAAAUCAGAACCAAUCCGGGAACUCUAGCUAGUGCGCUCUUCAAGCUGAAGUUGUGCUCUUCAGCUAAGGUGGUAAGGAAACCUUCACUGGGGCUUCAAGAUGUAAAGAGGAGAAUGUUUCAAAGUGUUCCAUGGUACUCUGAUGAAGGCCGUUGGUGUGUUCCACUGGCUGAGAGGAAGAACCCACACAUCUUCCUCUUGGCCUUUCUCCUCUGAGAAUCCUGGCGCCAUCUUGAAGGAUAUUCCAGCUCAUGUAACUGAUGUCACGACAGAUUCACAAACACUUGGUUUCUCCUGAGGGGCGUUUCUAUAGAACUGAAGACUUCAGACAGCACUGUAUCCCAGCAUGCAUCUCUGCUCACUCAGACCACACCCCCAUGAGUAGGAUGCAACACUCUAGUGAUGGAGAUGUAGUGUUUUGGUGAUGAGGCGGUCAGGCUGACGUUGCAGGGCUAUGGUCGGCUCUCUGUGAGCUCAACGUUUAGAUUUUCUCUAUGGUUUGUACCCUGAAUAAUCUAGAUAAUUGUAAAAUGUAGACACACGGUUUUGUAUUGAAUGAUUUUAGGUUUAAAGUUGUUGUACAUGGUAGUUUGGUUCUUCGUAUGGUUUGAGUGAUUAUAACUUGUACACACUGGGUGCAUAAUAAUGUAUAGUUACACUGAAUAGUAUUAAUGACCAACAGCAACAAACCAAGAUCUCCUCAAGGUAAGUCUGUUGGCUGUAUUUUAAUGAAGACCAUCGCUGGACUUCAGGAUCUUCCUCCGUUCAGCUCAAGGUGAGGCGCUGGUUCUGUUUUUUCUUUGGUUGGUUCCGGCCGGAAUGUUCGGAUUCCAGUUGGACGGUUUGUGCUUCCCGCCGUGGAAGGUUCUGAGUGCGGUAACUUGAUUUAGUCCCAAUGGUUAGCAUAGAAAGUUGUAGUCUUGACAACCAUAAGAAAACACCUGGCCAUUAGUUGGACGGGAGUCCCCUAAGGGAAUCUGGCGGAACGUUCUGGAUUGUAUUUGCGUAACCUCGAGCCGUUGCCAACUGAAUUAUUUUUCAGUCGGUUUCCAUUGGUAAUUGUUGGGAAUUGUUGCACCUAUCUCAAACAACUUUAAGUUUGAUAUCAAAUACGUCGUACAAUAUGUUGAUAAUUUCCGAUGGUUGCGCCGUACUUUUAACCACGUUGACGGGGCUCUCGCUGCGUACAAAACGGCGUUCUACUUGCGGCCCCAUUUUGACAUCAGUGAAGGCUGAAAAUCAUUUCAAGGUGGAAGACAAUUUGACAUUUCUUCAAAGGAACCCAGCACCUGAAUAUGGCUGAGUAAAUUUGAUUUACUAUUGAUACUGCUUAGUGUUCUUUGUUAAUUCAGCUUUUGUACGUUCUAAAUAUAUGCUGUCAUUAAUUGCCACAGAAGUUGAACCCUACCAAAUAGAAUGACGUUAAAGAACGACUUUGGUGUAGAGUUACCAACUGGAUAAUAUCAAAGCUAAAAUAAUGGCCGUCAUUCCCACAUGUUACAGUAGAAGAUACUCUAGAACUCUACAAGGUAAUAUGUAGUUUGUCCCAAGGUGUCUGCCUCCUCACCCAGAGCAAAACCUCCACCUCCUCACCCAGAGCCAGACCUCCACCUCCUGUCAGAAGUCCUCCAGAACAGCUGAAAGGUGAGGCUGAGAGGCUUGGGACCGGAGGCUUGUGGUGCCAGGAUGGACCGGACACUGAGGCUGGAGACCAGGGGCCUGCAGCACCGGACGAGAGGGUAACCAUCACCAAGCUCAUCUGAAACACUAAAAUCCUCAGAGGUUUAGGUCUGGUUUUGAUCAACUUAUGACUUUACAUCUGUGCCAAGCUGUGAUUAGAGUUAAUUCAUACCGGUUUUAUGUAGGAGUCAUAUGAGCCAUUAUUGUUUCUGGUGCUGCUAUGACCGUAGUGGAUGAAUUGCUGAACGCAACAAUCUGCAGACGUUGUCUAAUUUAAGUGUUUAAAUAUGUUUCAAAUUAGCCGUGCUGAAGGCCCUGCCUGGUGGAGGAUGUCUGUCGUGGGGUAGAUGGAGCCUGACUCUGAAGUGAUCAUCACACUCACUGCCACUUCUCGUAGAAUACUGCUACCACAAACCACCGGCGUUUGUACCAUAUAUACCAGACGACUACAUCUGUUUUACCACCUGUUGCCGCAAGCCUUCCGCUGUUUGUUCCAAACCAGGACUCUGUCUGAGGAGAGCUGAUGGAGAGCUGAUGGAGGAGCUGAGUCGCUGGAGGACGAUUAGGAAUCGACCAACAAGGAUUCCUCAACGUGUUUCUGGAGCGGAGGCGAGCUGAUAGGGGAGCCGUGAAUCUGGAGGAUGACGUCACUCUACCAACAAGGAUUACGUUGGGACCAGACUGUUUGUUUCAGACCAGGACUCUGGCUGAGGAGAGCUGAUGGAGGAGCCAUAAAAGACAAAUUACGUUUGUAACCAGACCAGGAAUCUGGAGGACUGACGGAGAAGCCGUACAUCUGGAAGGCAAAUCCUGAGGACGACCAGGACUCUACCAUCAAGGAUUCCUUACACACCUGAGCUGAACCUCACCUGAUCCGGACAUCCUGCUGGUCCCGUCUCCUCAGUUCAUCUGAGCCUCUUCCUCCAGAAGACCUGCUGAGCUCAGCGGUCUGAGGCUAAUGUAUCAAUGACCUCCAGUGGGAGUGAUCUUCUUGACCCCACAUACCAGGACUCUGUCUGAGGAGAGCUGCUGGAGGAGCUGAGACGCUGGAGGACGACUAGGAAUCGACCAACAAGGAUUCCUCAACAUGUUUCUGGAGCGGAGGCGAGCUGUUAGGCGAGCCGUGAAUCUGGAGGAUGACCAUCACUCUACCAACAAGGAUUACUUUAGGGUCAGACUCGCGCUGUUUGUUCCAGACCAGGACUCUGGCUGAGGAGAGCUGAUGGAGGAGCCAAGACUCUGGAGGACGACAUCACUCCACCAACCAGGAUCCUUACCAGGAAUCUGGAGGACUGAUGGAGAAGCCGUACAUCUCGAAGGCAAAUCCUGAGGACCACCAGGACUCUACCAUCAAGGAUUCCUCAUAAGUUUGCAUUAUCUGGACAUAGUGGACAAGACACACCUGAGCUGAACCUCACCUGAUCCUGUUUGGUCGGGGGCAGGCACACCUGAGCUAAACCCGCCCUGAUCCUGACAUCCUGCUGGUCCCGUCUCCUCAGUUCAUCUGAGCCUCGUCCUCCAGAAGACCUGCUGAGCUCAGCAGUCUGAGGCUGAUGGAUCAAUGACCUCCAGUGGGAGUGAUCUUCUUGACCCCACAUGUAACCGUGUGCUUCCACACGCCUUUCCUUUACGUCCGUCACUAACCUCACUACUUCACUACUCUCUACUGCUUCCUCUUUUCUUCCUUCUCUGUGGUUCGAACCUUUACAAUGAAGGCGCGUCUUCCUGCCCUCAGAGGGUUUAGCGUUAGGGUUGAGAGUCAGGGUUUAGAGUCAGGGACAGAGCUGGUCAGGGAGGACUGCUUUACACAAACCUCUUCACUUGCUUUCGGAAUGGUGGUGACAUUUUGAAGUGAUUCAUUUGGGAAAAUGUUUUCCUCUGCUUUCCUUUGCAAAAUUGUAUUAAGCUUCUGUCAAGUGUUUUUGUUUAUAUAUUAAAA
Long non-coding RNA from Gadus chalcogrammus (walleye pollock), 5425 nucleotides. RefSeq lists it as uncharacterized. The record is from RefSeq and is a predicted model, not a curated record. The transcript has 12 exons. NCBI's taxonomy places the organism in Eukaryota, Metazoa, Chordata, Actinopteri, Gadiformes, Gadidae.